AGAGUUUGAUCCUGGCUCAGGAUGAACGCUGGCGGUAUGCUUAACACAUGCAAGUCGAACGGUCUCUUCGGAGAUAGUGGCGGACGGGUGAGUAACGCGUGAGAACAUGCCUUUAGAUUGGGGACAACAGUUGGAAACGACUGCUAAUACCGAAUGUGCCUUAGGGUGAAAGAUUUAUUGUCUAGAGAUUGGCUCGCGUCAGAUUAGCUAGUUGGAGUGGUAACGGCACACCAAGGCGACGAUCUGUACUUGGUCUGAGAGGAUGACCAGGCACACUGGAACUGAGACACGGUCCAGACUCCUACGGGAGGCAGCAGUGGGGAAUUUUCCGCAAUGGGCGAAAGCCUGACGGAGCAAUACCGCGUGAGGGAGGACGGCUUUUGGGUUGUAAACCUCUUUUAUCAGGGAAGAUCGUGACGGUACCUGAUGAAUCAGCAUCGGCUAACUCCGUGCCAGCAGCCGCGGUAAUACGGAGGAUGCAAGCGUUAUCCGGAAUUAUUGGGCGUAAAGCGUCCGUAGGUGGUUUAUCAAGUCUGCUGUCAAAGCGUGCGGCUUAACCGCAUAAGGGCAGUGGAAACUGAUGAACUAGAGUGCGAUAGGGGUAACAGGAAUUCCCAGUGUAGCGGUGAAAUGCGUAGAUAUUGGGAAGAACACCAGCGGCGAAAGCGUGUUACUGGGUCUGCACUGACACUGAGGGACGAAAGCUAGGGGAGCGAAAGGGAUUAGAUACCCCUGUAGUCCUAGCCGUAAACGAUGACAACUAGGCGUGGUUCGAUCGACGAGCCGUGCCGUAGCCAACGCGUUAAGUUGUCCGCCUGGGGAGUACGCACGCAAGUGUGAA
This 841-nucleotide ribosomal RNA is filed under the name uncultured bacterium. Its description in RNAcentral is "bacterial SSU rRNA". It matches the Rfam family "Bacterial small subunit ribosomal RNA", at positions 8 to 898 of the family's 1533-position model. The record is from RNAcentral.